UUCAGCUGGGAAAGCUGCUGUUCAGCUAAGUGUUUUCGUAGAUGAAACAAAGCUGCAAUCCCACUUGGCAUUCGCAUUAAUUGUGGACUUGCCAACAGGCCAGUUUCACUGGUGUAUAAAUUAGUGGAGAAUUAUUCAACUCAUCUCAAUAACUAAGAGAAUAUCCUCAUAAAGCUCGCUGAGCGGUAAGACAUGCCCCCUCCCCCCUACUUUCCAGUGUAUUUUGCACCCUAUACUUAGAAAAAUCACAGAAUUUGCAUGCUGUUCUGCAAAAAAAAAAGUACAAAGAAAGACAUCUAAUAUACUAACUAUACUGAUACCACAGCAGAGCAAUAUGGUGACUAUCUGCAUAAAAUAGCAAGUUUGUGUGGAUCGGAAACUGUCCAAAUUAAGAGGGAAUUUUCUGGUUUGUUGUUUGAGUGUUGAGUUUGGGUGGUGUAUUUCUUUUUCUUUUUGAAAUUCAGCUGAAAUUGUGAAGUGAAAGCGCAUGUGAAAUGUGCCUUGCUGCCAGCGUUAGACACCCGACAUUUCAUGUCUCUCCGGCAAAACAAGAGCCUGGGAAGUGCAAACUUCCCCGAACUGUCCUGCCAACAGGCCUUUCUGACCUAAAGGGGGAUCACCUUUGUGGUGACAGCAUAAUUUGAUCUCUGUGCCAUCUAAUCCUUAUUUUCCGUACUGAGGCUGCCAGCAAGGGUGCCAAUUAGAGCCAAUUGUGAUGGUGGCUUUUGUGAUGCAGACACCUGCCCACUAGGAAUUGGACUGGUACCACCAACACACAUAUGCCACUAAACAGCUGUCAGAUGAGAGCUGUGGUCCAUGAGGAACAUGUUUGUCCUGUGGCCAGAACCUACCCUGAAUGUCACAGAUGUGAAAGGAAUGGCAACCAGCAUGCAUGGGAGACGUAGCAGCACACCUGCAGAGGCUUCAUCCACUUGUGUUUCGGUGUGCAGCACUGGCUUGCAGCAGGCACUGGUGGGCUGUGCAGGAGGCACCAUUCCCACCCCUUGAAAGCAAAAUGAAAAGGUGAUGUUACAGCUAAAAGAUGGCCUGGGAUGUGGGUGAUUCAGCUGUGUGCCAACAUGUCCCUCAUGCAAAAAGUGGAGUGGGGAGAACAAACUUCUUCCCUCUUGUCACUUGUCCUCCUGGCUUGGAGACGGGUGUUUUCGGGAUGAUCCUGUGGAAAAGGGGUGGACGGGAGAUGAGGAGAGGGAUGGGGAUAGCACACAUAUGAAGAGAUCUUGUGCUCCUCAAGAUUGCUCAGGCAUCUUCAUGCAGCCUUACAGCUGCCUUGACCCCUUCAAAUGCAACUCUCCCCACCCUUGCAGCUAAUUCCCAGCUUCUUGACCCCGAUCUCUGUAGUGAUCCAGAAAUAAAGUCUGUCAAACCUGGCAGAGGACACAGCUGCACGUGAGGAUCAACUUCAUGACUGGGGUAGGCUCAGUCUUUAGCGUCACUUAUUUUUCAGGUCUGAAGGUAUUUUCCUGGUUUAUAGUGUUUGCUAAUUUGGUUUGAGAGCGCACAAUAUGGUAAACUGCAGGAUAGAGAGGAUAGAGUAUGUAAUCCAGAAAUCCAUUUCAGGUUAGAGCCAUAAUUAGCUAAUGUAAGAUAAUAAAUAGCUACUAAAAUCACAUGAAAAAUAUGAUAGUGCUAUAAAGCCUGUUUUUAUAAUCCUGCUCCUCCCCUUUUCUGCCUCCUCCUCCUCCUCUUCAGUGUAACAAGGACCGUAAUAGGCUUCAUGUAUAAGUGCCUAUUUUUAUUAAAGACAAGUGUAAUCUUUUGUAGUCCAAAUGUCCCUAUCAUAAAUGCUAACUGAGGAAAAUAUUAGGACUCAUUUAUUUAUGAACCUGUUAAUAAUGAGGUGCAGUUAUGAAAAAGGCUUUCUCAGCACAAAGCCUACUGAACAAACAAUGCACACUGGGGGAGAAAGAGCUAGUUAGCCUUCUUGACUUAGAUAAAGCUAUGGAGAAAUGACAAGUGCCAGUAAUUAGCAAAGCCUCUUCAACAAGAUAACCCUAUACAUCUUUGUCUAUUUCAAUCACCAAAGACUCCGAUUCAGUGUAAAAUUAAAGCUGGGAUGCCAUCAAUUUCUGUUAACCUCUUUAUAUUGUUCUGUGUUCAUGCAUAUGUGAUAGAUAGUUUUUGUCAUUUUAUUAAAUGGUGACAUCUCAGUAUGCAUGUGACUAAAACUGUUUCUCCUUAGCAAAG
Cygnus olor (mute swan) is the source of this 2205-nucleotide long non-coding RNA. RefSeq lists it as uncharacterized. The transcript is spliced from 3 exons. The record is from RefSeq and is a predicted model, not a curated record. Lineage: Eukaryota; Metazoa; Chordata; Aves; Anseriformes; Anatidae.